Long non-coding RNA from Hyaena hyaena (striped hyena), 348 nucleotides. RefSeq lists it as uncharacterized. The transcript has 2 exons. The record is from RefSeq and is a predicted model, not a curated record. Lineage: Eukaryota; Metazoa; Chordata; Mammalia; Carnivora; Hyaenidae.
GCCCUAGGGCGCCGUCCUCCUGGCGCCGCCUGGAGGCCGGCCCGAGCCCUGCAGCUAAGGAAGUCUUGGGAGUCCUUUACCAGAAUCCAAAGUACAAGGGAGCCCACUGAUGAAAGUCAUAGCCUCCCAGGACAGAGAAAAAGACAAAGAGGGAGGGGAGUAAUCUAGAAGGAAAGACAGAAGCCAUCCAGCAUACCUAGAGCUGAAGACUCCAUCUGUUCUUCACAAGGGAGUGACCUCGUGACUCUCCGUGCUCAAGUACUACUGGCCAGCAACUUUGUGGAGGUGCCUCCUGAAUUGGUUCUGGAGCAAAACUGACCUUGAGUUUGUUUAAAAAAAAAAAAAAAA